RNAcentral lists this ribosomal RNA (465 nucleotides) under Vreelandella stevensii. RNAcentral describes it as "partial 16S ribosomal RNA". It matches the Rfam family "Bacterial small subunit ribosomal RNA", at positions 338 to 795 of the family's 1533-position model. The record is from RNAcentral. Lineage: Bacteria; Pseudomonadati; Pseudomonadota; Gammaproteobacteria; Oceanospirillales; Halomonadaceae.
CCUACGGGGGGCAGCAGUGGGGAAUAUUGGACAAUGGGGGCAACCCUGAUCCAGCCAUGCCGCGUGUGUGAAGAAGGCCCUCGGGUUGUAAAGCACUUUCAGUGAGGAAGAACGCCUGGUGGUUAAUACCCAUCAGGAAAGACAUCACUCACAGAAGAAGCACCGGCUAACUCCGUGCCAGCAGCCGCGGUAAUACGGAGGGUGCGAGCGUUAAUCGGAAUUACUGGGCGUAAAGCGCGCGUAGGUGGCUUGAUAAGCCGGUUGUGAAAGCCCCGGGCUCAACCUGGGAACGGCAUCCGGAACUGUCAAGCUAGAGUGCAGGAGAGGAAGGUAGAAUUCCCGGUGUAGCGGUGAAAUGCGUAGAGAUCGGGAGGAAUACCAGUGGCGAAGGCGACCUUCUGGACUGACACUGACACUGAGGUGCGAAAGCGUGGGUAGCAAACAGGAUUAGAUACCCGAGUAGUC